Molecule: ribosomal RNA, 114 nt
Organism: Bos indicus x Bos taurus (hybrid cattle)
Lineage: Eukaryota; Metazoa; Chordata; Mammalia; Artiodactyla; Bovidae
Source: Ensembl
GGCUCUGGCCAUAUCAGCCUGAAGGCGCCCGAUCUCAUCUGAUCUUGGAAGCUAAGCAGGGUUGGGCCUGCUUAGUAAAAAAAAAAAAAAAAAGUGAUGGUAGGGCUGCAUUCU